GUUGACGAGGGUCCUUACUGA
This 21-nucleotide non-coding RNA is filed under the name Rattus norvegicus (Norway rat). The record is from RNAcentral. Lineage: Eukaryota; Metazoa; Chordata; Mammalia; Rodentia; Muridae.